UACGUAGGGGGCAAGCGUUGUCCGGAUUUAUUGGGCGUAAAGAGCGUGUAGGCGGCUUGGUAGGUCCGCUGUGAAAACUCGAGGCUCAACCUCGAGAUGUCGGCGGAAACCACUUGGCUAGAGUCCGGAAGAGGAGAAUGGAAUUCCCGGUGUAGCGGUGAGAUGCGCAGAUAUCGGGAAGAACACCCGUGGCGAAGGCGGUUCUCUGGGACGGUACUGACGCUGAGACGCGAAAGCGUGGGGAGCGAACAGG
RNAcentral lists this ribosomal RNA (253 nucleotides) under uncultured bacterium. RNAcentral describes it as "partial 16S ribosomal RNA". It matches the Rfam family "Bacterial small subunit ribosomal RNA", at positions 524 to 776 of the family's 1533-position model. The record is from RNAcentral.